RNAcentral lists this long non-coding RNA (1127 nucleotides) under Sorghum bicolor (sorghum). RNAcentral's name for it is "long non-coding RNA (SBIC_LNC018843)". The record is from RNAcentral. Lineage: Eukaryota; Viridiplantae; Streptophyta; Magnoliopsida; Poales; Poaceae.
AAUUCGUGGCGCGCGCAGGUGGUCUGUGCGCUGCCGAAUUCCCGGGAAACCCGACUUUCGUUCCCGUGACGACUAUAGUGCCUGGGGGUCAAAAACAGCAGUUCGGCAAGGCGUGAGUGCCCAGAAUUCGUGGCGCGCGCACGUGGUCUGUGCGCUGCCGAAUUCCCGAGAAACCCGACUUUCGUUCACGCGACGAAUAUAGUGGCAGGGGGCAAAAACAGCCGUUCGGCAAGGCGUGAGUGCCCAGAAUUCGUGGCGCGCGCACGAGGUGUGUGCGCUGCCGAGUUCCCGGGAAACCCGACUUUCGUUCACGUGACGAAUAUAGUGGCAGAGGGCAAAAACAGCCGUUCGGCAAGGCGUGAGUGCCCAGAAUUCGUGGCGCGCGCACGUGGUCUGUGCGCUGCCGAAUUCCCGAGAAACCCGACUUUCGUUCACGUGACGAAUAUAGUGGCAGGGGGCAAAAACAGCCGUUCGGCAAGGCGUGAGUGCCCAGAAUUCGUGGCGCGCGCACGAGGUGUGUGCGCUGCCGAGUUCCCGGGAAAGCCGACUUUCGUUCACGUGACGAAUAUAGUGGCAGAGGGCAAAAACAGCCGUUCGGCAAGGCGUGAGUGCCCAGAAUUCGUGGCGCGCGCAGGUGGUCUGUGCGCUGCCGAAUUCCCGGGAAACCCGACUUUCGUUCACGUAGUGUCCCGGGUCAAAACAGCAGUUCUGCAAGGCGUGAGUAAACAUGAAUUCGUGGCGCGCGCACGUGGUCCGUGCAGAGCCGAGUUCCCAAGAAAGCCGACUUUCGUUGACAUGACGAAUAUAGUGUCCGGGGGCAAAAAGAGCACUUCGGCAAGGCGUGAGUACCAAGAAUACAAGCCGAAUCCGGGGCGGCACUCGCGCGACCGAACAUGUGUUUUUGGGCAAAACCACAUGGAAUUUGCAUAUUACGUGGAUUUUGUGGCGUAUUCAAAAACGCCGUAGAGAACCGUACGAAAAAUCUGCAGAACUCCUGGGGGGCAGCGAUGCCCCUCUGGUACUAUAGGGGAGAGGGUUGGGUUGGCUGAGACCAUGGGUGAAACUGUGGGAAACCACUAGAUUUUUGAGCUAACGAAAGCCGAACCCCUCCCUGCAGUCGCGCAACC